UUGGGCAGGAUGAGAAUCUUCGGGGAAGAGCAGGAGCUGACUAUCCCUGCUCAGCACCCACUAAGAUCUGAAAAGAUCUAAUCAGUUGGCCCAGAAGAGGGCCAACAGAUGAAAGGACCUUAGGUGACUGGACCAGGGCUGUUGUGAGGAUGAAACGGAGAUGUAUGUUCCCUUAAGCUUACUAGCAGAAAGAAUGGGCUUUUCCAAGCAGGAGAAGAAGAUGCCAGGAUGAAAAGAAGUCAAUGAAAUGAAUCAUCCCAUCCUGAAGUUAACAAGGCCUGACUGGCUUCUCCCCUCAACUCUCUUUGCUUAGCUCUUCUUCAGCUUUCUGAGACAUGUUGUCUCUUUUUGUCCUUGGAACAAUAAGCCUUUGAUUCUCUUUCUCUUUUCUGUUGUCUCCAUUCACACAUAAAGCCUGGUAGGGGGUUAACAUCUGUGUCACAUUCAUUUCAUGGAGUAAUAGGCCAAACAGUGGUGUACAAAGACAGGGACAAGCUACGUAGAAGGCUCCCGUGCUUCUCUAAAAGAAGCUUUCCACUUUAACAGCAAUCCCCUUCUGAUCCACUCCAAGAAUAUAUCCUCUUCUGAUUCACCCCAAAAAUUUAUUAUGUCUUCUCAAUCCUACUAUUCCUGAGAUUACAUAAUGUUCAUUACUUUCAUAGAAGUCCUCUAAAGGAAGUCUGAGUAAAAUGACACCCUGCAAUCACAAGUUGUCCCCAUGGUUGACUUUGUAGUCCUUAGGUUCCCCACACAAAUUGCCUUCAUUAUGGAUCUCAUCAUAUUGAGGUCCAGAAGCCGGUGACACCAGGGAAACUGUGGGGAGGUGUAAUGCUUUGUGCCCUUACUGUCGGUGGUCGUGGGAUCCCUUCCCACUACUUUCCCCACUGUCCCCAGCUACUUCCUGAAUCCUUCCUGGCUUCUUCUAUGAGGAGUAAGGAGUCUAGGCUCCUUUUCUCUCUGCUGCCAGCAUGCUGCUGGCACAAACCCCAAUGGAGCCCUGCUGGAAGUAGCCCUGCAUCAUUUGAUGGGCUCUGGUGGACACCGUGCCCACAGCGUGCCAGCAGCACCAAGAAGCAUGGAGCUUCUGGACUUUCAUGUGAUGAGGUCUUUAGUGACACAUCUUGUAGGGAAUUCCUUUGAGAUGCCAAGGUCUUUGAAUCACACUUUGUUUUGGUCAUUCCCAGUUUUCAAGAACUGGAAAACACUUUUUCUUAUGAGAGGGCAUUUUUAGCACCCUUGGGGAAACCCAGGAAUCACAAAUAUGACCGCCCCCCUCCCACCCCAUUGAAGUUUCUAAUACUAGCUGAGAUGGUACAUUAUUCUCUGCAUGCACAGUUGGGCAUUAAUUGCCCUGCACAACCCAUCUGCGGAAUGGCAAUGUUGCACAACUGAAAACAAACAUUCACGAACAGAAAAGGCCAUUUCCCUAGAAAUUUUUCUUCAUGAAAAUUCAGCCCUGAAUUGUGAAGAUUCUAAUUGAAUAAAAUUGUAUUUCUCAAGAUUUCCUAGUACUGAAUAAACCAUCCCUUGUGCAGACUGUA
Anolis sagrei ordinatus is the source of this 1541-nucleotide non-coding RNA. NCBI's taxonomy places the organism in Eukaryota, Metazoa, Chordata, Lepidosauria, Squamata, Anolidae. The record is from RefSeq and is a predicted model, not a curated record.